RNAcentral lists this long non-coding RNA (364 nucleotides) under Olea europaea (common olive). Its description in RNAcentral is "long non-coding RNA (OEUR_LNC008395)". Lineage: Eukaryota; Viridiplantae; Streptophyta; Magnoliopsida; Lamiales; Oleaceae. The record is from RNAcentral.
GAAUAUAUAUACAUAGAAGACGGCAGUUUUCUGGGAGGAAGGGAGGCUAAAAGAAAAAGAGUUGAGGGAGAUUAUACAUGUAGAGAGAGCCGGCUAAGGGAAAACAUUGGAUUACCAACACAAUUGGGCGGCUGAAUUUGAUAAAAAAAAGGGACUGGAAUUUGCACAAGCAUUAAAGUGGCUGUGAGGAUUAUAAAAUCAAGCAUUAGCAGCCACUUUGGGGACUGAUUAUUGUACACAUAUAUAGGCGGCUGGAAUUGAUUUUAUAUACAUAGAUAAUAGCCUCUUGGAGUUGAUAUAUAUACACAUACACGCAGAGAGGAGCAACCAAGAUUAUUAGACUACGCACAAAAAAAAAGCCAAG